GAUGAACGCUGGCGGCGUGCCUAACACAUGCAAGUCGAGCGAGGGUUUGCUCAGUAUUGAGUAUUCUAAGUCUAGAAUGUUCAAUUCUGAGCAAAACCAAGCGGCGGACGGGUGAGUAACGCGUGGGUAACCUGCCCUAUACACAUGGAUAACAUACUGAAAAGUUUACUAAUACAUGAUAAUAUAUAUUUGCGGCAUCGCAGAUAUAUCAAAGUGUUAGCGGUAUAGGAUGGACCCGCGUCUGAUUAGCUAGUUGGUGAGAUAACUGCCCACCAAGGCGACGAUCAGUACCGACCUGAGAGGGUGAUCGGCCACAUUGGAACUGAGACACGGUCCAAACUCCUACGGGAGGCAGCAGUGGGGAAUAUUGCACAAUGGGCGAAAGCCUGAUGCAGCAACGCCGCGUGAACGAUGAAGGUCUUCGGAUCGUAAAGUUCU
Molecule: ribosomal RNA, 438 nt
Filed under: Peptostreptococcus stomatis
Lineage: Bacteria; Bacillati; Bacillota; Clostridia; Peptostreptococcales; Peptostreptococcaceae
Description: bacterial SSU rRNA
Rfam family: Bacterial small subunit ribosomal RNA
Source: RNAcentral